AGAGCUUCCUCCAAGGUCUCAGCAGGAUACCAAGCUUGCUUAAACAUAUGUACGAGGAUUAAGUGCCGGUUAAUUGGGCAAUUUAGAGGCUGUGACUAGAGCCUCGUGGAACAUAAUCUUGGUGCCCUGAACAGACAGAAGGCAAAUUUGCUCAAAGAUCCCUUAUAGUGCCAGUGCUCCUCCAGGUAAAAAAUGCCAAAGCAGGACUGAACACAAAGUCAUUUGCUGGAACAUUUAAUAAGGAGCAAAGAGAAAAGGAGUGAAUCAAAGGGAAAUUGCUGAUUAAUACCAAAGUGUAUGCAUAAAAAUAUAUGUGUAUGACUCAUCCACAAGAGAAAGAGAGACUCCAGAUAAAUUCAACUUGCUCCUGAAAAAGUGAAAAGUAGAAGGACUGUCUUGGAA
This 402-nucleotide long non-coding RNA is filed under the name Cyanistes caeruleus (blue tit). RNAcentral's name for it is "lncRNA (ENSCCEG00000024497.1)". The record is from RNAcentral. Lineage: Eukaryota; Metazoa; Chordata; Aves; Passeriformes; Paridae.